Molecule: ribosomal RNA, 514 nt
Filed under: uncultured bacterium
Lineage: Bacteria
Description: bacterial SSU rRNA
Rfam family: Bacterial small subunit ribosomal RNA
Source: RNAcentral
CGCUGGCGGCGUGCCUAAUACAUGCAAGUCGAACGGUCUUUCUAUGGAAGCUUGCUCCACUGAGAAGAUAGUGGCGAACGGGUGAGUAACACGUGGGUAACCUGCCCAUAAGAGGGGGGAUAACAUCCGGAAACGGGUGCUAAUACCGCAUAGUUUUCUUGAUCGCAUGAUCGGGAAAGGAAAGACGGCCUUUGUGCUGUCGCUUAUGGAUGGACCCGCGGCGUAUUAGUUAGUUGGUGAGGUAACGGCUCACCAAGACGAUGAUACGUAGCCGACCUGAGAGGGUGAUCGGCCACAUUGGGACUGAGACACGGCCCAAACUCCUACGGGAGGCAGCAGUAGGGAAUCUUCCGCAAUGGACGAAAGUCUGACGGAGCAACGCCGCGCGAGUGAAGGUAAAGGGUUUUCGGAUCGUAAAACUCUGUUGUCAGAGAAGAACAAGUUGGAGAGUAACUGCUCCAGCCUUGACGGUAUCUGACCAGAAAGCCACGGCUAACUACGUGCCAGCCGCCGC